AUGUCCCUUAGGAUUGCCAACGUGAUCCACACGCUCAUCUCACCAGCACAGUCGGCAUUUCUUCGGACAAAAUGCAUCCACGAUAGCUUCCUGUACGUUCAAAGCUGCAUCAAGGCCCUACAUAGACGGAAAACACCGGCUCUGCUUCUUAAGUUGGACAUAGCCAAGGCCUUUGACAAUGUAUCUUGGGAGUACAUCCUUGAGAUGCUGCAACAACAGGGUUUUAGUGCGCGAUGGAGAGAUUGGAUAUCUUUGCUGCUGUCCUCAUCCUCGUCAUCCUUCCUCCUCAAUGGCGUUCCAGGAAAAAGGAUCCGACACCGGAGAGGCCUUCGACAGGGCGACCCCUUGUCACCUUUCAUCUUCAUCCUAGCGAUAGACACACUGCACCACCUACUU
This 396-nucleotide ribosomal RNA is filed under the name Triticum aestivum (bread wheat). RNAcentral describes it as "partial small subunit ribosomal RNA". Lineage: Eukaryota; Viridiplantae; Streptophyta; Magnoliopsida; Poales; Poaceae. The record is from RNAcentral.